UACAGAGGGUGCGAGCGUUGUCCGGAAUCACUGGGCGUAAAGGGCGCGUAGGCGGUCUCUUAAGCGUGUGGUGAAAAGCCCGGGGGCUCAACUCCGGGUCGGCCGUGCGAACUGGGGGGAACUGGAGCUUGUCAGAGGCAGGCGGGAAUUCCGGGGUGUAGCGGUGGAAAUGCGUAGAGAUCCGGAAGAACACCCGGUGGC
This 201-nucleotide ribosomal RNA is filed under the name uncultured bacterium. RNAcentral describes it as "partial 16S ribosomal RNA". It matches the Rfam family "Bacterial small subunit ribosomal RNA", at positions 524 to 716 of the family's 1533-position model. The record is from RNAcentral.